GACGAACGCUGGCGGCGUGCUUAACACAUGCAAGUCGAGCGGUAAGGCCCUUUCGGGGGUACACGAGCGGCGAACGGGUGAGUAACACGUGGGUGACCUGCCCUCAGCUCUGGGAUAAGCCUGGGAAACCGGGUCUAAUACCGGAUAUGACUCCAUGACGCAUGUUGUGGGGUGGAAAGCCUUGUGCGGCUGAGGAUGGGCCCGCGGGCCUAUCAGCUUGUUGGUGGGGUGAUGGCCUACCAAGGCGACGACGGGUAGCCGGCCUGAGAGGGCGACGGCCACACUGGGACUGAGACACGGCCCAGACUCCUACGGGAGGCAGCAGUGGGGAAUCUUGCGCAAUGGGCGAAAGCCUGACGCAGCGACGCCGCGUGAGGGAUGACGGCCU
This 388-nucleotide ribosomal RNA is filed under the name uncultured bacterium. RNAcentral's name for it is "bacterial SSU rRNA". It matches the Rfam family "Bacterial small subunit ribosomal RNA", at positions 28 to 417 of the family's 1533-position model. The record is from RNAcentral.